Molecule: long non-coding RNA, 8410 nt
Organism: Chelonia mydas (Green sea turtle)
Lineage: Eukaryota; Metazoa; Chordata; Testudines; Cheloniidae
Exons: 4
Source: RefSeq, a predicted model, not a curated record
UACAGAAACCGACAGUCUCCACUGGUAGGACUGCUCCCAGCGACAGUGGUUAUUUUUGUGUGCAGCUAAAAUAGCUUGAAGUCAACAAGGGUUAAUUCACUUGUUUCCACUGGCAGGGCUGAAGACCGAGCACUCGAGCCAGCUGAAAGCAGAUGGAGAAAACACGUCUGAAUUUGUUGAAGACACAAUAAAUCGACUGCCGAGCAUUCUCCCGUCGACUCUGGUACUCCACCGAAGCGAGGGGCAUAGGCAGAGUCUACGGGGGAGCAACAGCAGUCAACCUACCACAGUGAGGACACCGCGGUCCUACACAAGGGAGUCCUGCUCCAGGACUAAGGCUCCUAGGUGCUUCUUCUUCUUAGCAUAUGUGCCACGUGCCUCAGGUGGCCAGUGACCAGGAUUCAUCAACGAAUUUAGUCUGCUGAUCGGAUCAUUAGCUUCCCCAGCCCGGGCCGGGUACUGACGAGGAGCGCAACAUGAACGCUGAUCCAUGCCCCCCUCCAAAGUGCUAAUGAAAUACAAAUAAUAAAGAAUAAUACUCACGUUGCAAGGCAGUGGGGAAUCAGACCCAGGGUCUGUUUUCAGCCGUUCUAAACAAGCUUGGCCUUCUAAGGUGAGGUUAGAUAUGAAGUUGCUCUACUGUGUUGUCAUACCAAGGAACUUCAGUUCUAGUACAUGUAUAGGAGGAAACAUUUCACCUGUCGUUUUAACCAUUUGUGGAUGUGCCCUCAACCGAGAGCUGGGCGGAAUUUUUCAGGGGAAUUGUUUAUUUGCAGUUUUUGUCAGCUUGAAGCCAAGUGUGAAUUUGACACAAAUUUGCUGAAUACUUUUCGUCUUUUAUUUUUAUUUAUUUCUUUAUUUACUUACUUACUUAUUUAUUUUUCAGGACUUGGAUGGCAGUCACAAACCAGCCACAGGAGGAAGUAGAUCCUCCUUAUAAAUUUUAGCCUAGUGGCUAAAAUACGGACUUGAGAAAACUAGGUUCACUUUCCCUCCCUGUCUGAUGUGGAGCCUUCUCAUUGUCUUUCCCUGGCCCAAGGACUAUUCACUGUCAUUCGUAGUCGCAAAGUCAUAGUCAUUCAUAAAGCUCAGUGGUUUGAGCAUUGGCCUGCUAAACCCAGGGUUGUGAGCUCAAUCCUUGAGGGGUCCAUUUAGGGAUCUGGGGCAAAAGUUGGGGAUAGGUCCUGCUUUGAGCAGGGGGUUGGACUAGAUGACCUCCUGAGGUCCCUUCCAACCCUGGUAUUCUAUGAUUCUAUGAUUCUAAGUAGUCAUUGGGAUGGAAGAAACUGGGGAGAAUGUCUCUAUACCCGGGUGGUUAGGGUAGUCGCCUAGCAUAUGGGAAGCCCAAGUUCAAGCCCCUCCUCCAAUGACUACGGAUAGAAAUUCCAAGCUUGAAUAAUAAGAGUAAAGCAGUAGGAAUAUAUUACUGACCACCUGACCUGCAGUGGGAUCGUCUUCGGUCACUCCCUGGGAGAUAGGAGGUGUGUUUGGGGGCUAGAGAGGCAAAUAGCUCACGGGUGCUCCCUGGGAGGAGGGAGUAGAGAGGCAGCAAACCCCACCGAGGGGAGGGUGUUGGAGUAGGAAGCAGCCUAAGGAGUAAGCAGCAAGGUUGGGGACAGAACAGACCCUGGCUGCUUGUUGUAGCAUCUCUUGUCUGAAACCCAGGAUAGAAGGUGGGCCCGGGUUCCUCUACCUGCCACUCAGGAAGUGGCACCAGCAGGGCUGUGAACUGGACAACUGUCUGGGUCACUGUGGGAAUGACAGAAACUUUGAAAGACUAUACCUCGGAAGGGGUGGGGGGGACGCUGAGUGACCUGGCUGGUGGGCUGAAUCACAAAGAGGACACUGCAGUUCCUGGAGUGAGAGAGGAGCGACAGACCAGGGAGAGAGACGGAAUGACAGUGUGCGACUGCGGGAAAGGGCAUUGACCUCGUGAGCUAAUCCCCAGAGCGGCCAGGAGGGGGCACCACAUGUGGUCACAUGGAGAAAAUCUGCACUGACAUUUAUAACGACCUCUGAAGACCCCUGCUGACCGAGUCACGGGAACAUCACUGGUGGGGUCAGAUCCUGGCACUGACUCCUUCUGCAGCCCUGAGUAUGUCGUGCAGAGGGGAAUUCACCAGGGGACAAGCUGGACGCUCUGUGAGUGGGGAAAGAGCGCUCUCUGUUGACCGUCUCGAAUAUGAUACGGCUUUUCUGAGGACAGCUGGGAUGCGGGAAGGGCUUUGUAAAUGUACCCGCAGCCAUGCCCACUCCUGCAGGUUACUGGAUUUUCAGCAACUACAAAACUAGCUGGAAAGUCAAACGACACACAGGGAGGUGAACAAGGGCUGCUACUGGCCAGUGGGCCUGACUCUCAGUUAUGUUAAGACCUUGUUACAUCACUGUGGCAAUGUAAAGAGGCCUUAAGUUGGGGACAAAUGCCCCCUGAGGAUGUCCCGCAUGCAGAGGUUCUCCCCAGAUGGGGUAGAGUUGCUGUCAUGGAUCUACAUCCAUGAUGUAGAGACCAUAUUGUGGGAGGGAUCACAGUGCACUGUGCUUUGGCUAUUCUCUGUUUUCCAGGACCCACAGGGAGCCACGGGAAACUGAACAUAUUUGAGCAGCCCUGAUGCUGCUCUAACUUACACCAGUCACCAGGCAGGGCCCCGCACAGCCCCAGAAUAUAGGAGGUUUACAGCUAAUUUAACUCCCCAUGCCCCGUUCCUGUCCCAUAUACAAGAAUGGAGUAACUGAGAAAACUGGCCCCAGCAUUUAGAUUGCCAUGUGGCUAUAUAUGAUAGAUGUGGCUUCGAGGGGAGUGCUGGAUGCUAAGGAAGAUGCACUUGUGAGCCAUGUAAAAGGAACGAGGAGUGUGAUGGGCCCUGCCACUGAGCAGUCACUAGCCUGAAGAUGCCAUUCGCUCUAAAUCAUGAACAAAUUAUCAAUGGCACAGACUGUGGAAAUGCUGCUUUUCUAUCACUGAUGGGCCAACACGGCUGUACCCUAGUCCGAAAGGAGGAGGAAGUGAGUCCCAGCCUGGUUUCAUUCAUUUGGGUAAGUCUAGGCUCGGAUCCUGGGCAUACACAGCAUUGCCGGCUCUCACAAUAUUUGCUGUAUUUCUUAAAUUCUUAGCUCCUGGAGUCAUGUGAAUAUGUGAGAAUCUCAGCUUACGUUAAAAAAAAAAAGAGGACACUUCUAGCCCUCAUUGCUUUGGAGAAAAUCUUAAAAAUGCCACUUAAAUGUUGGAAAGCCAAAAGGCAAACAUAAAGAAUCCAUUUUAAAAUAUUGCGAUUUUUAAGUCACCUCUGGUGGUUUCUUUGGGGCCCAGGUCCUGACUGUUGAACACUUGGGGUUUGCAAUAUGCAACUGACCAGAUGAGAUACUAGAUACCACUAGUCACCUCCAUGCUCGAAAGCCAUCAGUCCACAUAGCCACUGAGCAUGGGCCCAAAAAUCCAGCAAUGCAGAUUGUGCUAGGAGCUUCUCCUAAACAUGAAGCAUGAGCGUGACUUAAAUAAGCGGCGGCAUGAAGAAAAUGCCAGCUGGCUGGUAAUCCUGCAGAAUUCUCCAAGAAGCAGGGAGUUUUGGAUUUCAGCGAAAUGCUUUUAUUUAUCAACUACAGCAAAAGUGUAAUGCAGACAAAACAGUCUCUAAUUCCGAGAAUUCCAAUACCCUGGUCUGUGUCCUUGUCCCUUGCUAGCCUACUUCCUGCUAGCUACCUGCGGGGUCCACAAAAAGACACAAUAAUGACUUAUGAUUUUCAGGACCAUUGUGCUAUCAGGGAGGAUGUAAAUCGGGGCAGGAGUUGCAUCCCUGUUUGAUUCUACUUGUGGAGGUGACUUUUGACCUGCCGAGUCAGUGAAAGCCCCAAGAGGUCACAUCAGGGCUCACUUGUGCUCAAGGCCAACUCGGGAUUGGAUGGAAGUAAACGUAAUUCCCAGGAAAUUCUCUUCUGGGGUCUCUCUACCUAUUGGCAUGAAGUUAGAUGGAAACCAAAUGAAGUCGGCCCCUGGUUUAAAUUGUGCACGUGUAAGUUAGUCACUUACUGGACACGUGGGGGUCACCCAUGUUUACCGUGCCAAGUUCAGCCCACAUCUAAGCUUAUGGUUGUUAUUUAUUUAUUUUGUCUUGCAUUUGUUUGCUUUGGGAGGUCUAGGCCAGAAGCUUUAGAAUUCAUGCAAAUACUGGAGUAAAAUAGAUGUGGGCUCUGGUAAUAGGCAUAACAUAAAGGAGAAAACAGAAGCAGAAUGAGAAACAGGACAAACCAAGUGAAUCCAAACAUAACUUGGUCUUUCUUUUUUCUUUGCAUAUCUGUGUGUUUCCCUACUGGAUAUUUCCACUGACUUUCAGCCUAAUUUGCAAGUGUUUCUUGGGACCCGCUUCAAAGCGAACAGAGUAUUCAAAGGAACAAAAAAAUGACAUUCAAAUACGAUGCCUUGAGGCACGGCCCAAGUCAACAGUCUCAGAUCAGAUGCUGUGCCAGUUCCGAACUCUGUUCCACUGUCCUCCCUUUCCUUUGUUCUGUUUAGAUAUCACACAUGUUCACUCUGGCGCGGGGCUGGAUCAUAUGUGUCUGCACCCCUACCCCACCCUGUCUGGUGCCAUCCCAUCCCCCUGGAUUGCUCCAAUCUCUGUUACAUUAUUGUGAGGAAACCAACGAAAACACUGAGCACUUUGAUUCUUGCUCUGCCUUGACUGUGACAUUUCCAAAGCAAAAGGAGACAGGAGGGAAAGGGGAUGAUAUGGGAGGAAAGUGGCAUUUUGAGUGUUCUUUUCUUGGAAAGGAGAGGAGGUGGGACUGAGCUGGAGACCAAUAAAGUUGGUAAAAACAUAGUGGCAAUAAAUGACAAAAUAUUCACAACAGGUCAAUAACAACCAAGGUUUCCUGGCAGAUGCAUGCACACACGCACGCACACACACACAGACACACACACACACACACUUACUUAAAGGUUGCACUAACAAAACCUAAUGGAAAUCUUCAUUCACAGAUUGUAUGUCUUCCUAAGGGAGGGGCGUUUACUUUUUUUGCCCCAAGAGUUUGUAUCUGUUCCUUUGCUUGCAUUUUUACACCUGGCAAAAUGCCCCCCGUGUAUUUGACCGCCGGGAAGGAGGUAGGAACCCAUCAAACAGCAUCACUACACUCCCAAUUAGAGCAAAAGGAAAGGUUUUCAACCAAACACAUGGGACAACCUAAAGAGAGGAGAGAUGGGAAAUAUCAGGGGGGGAUAACAAGAGCACGAGAGUCCCCAGAUUGAGAACUCUGGGGACUGAACUCCAUAUUUCCAAGGCAGAGGUCCAGUGUAACCCACUGAUGAAUGUGUCGUGACCACAUAUGGAUCUGUUAUAGCCCCAGCUACAAAGUUCAGCUCUUCAGCUCAAGCUGUAGAGGUGAGGGCUGUGGAGGUCACGGGUUCAAUCCUUGGUGUGUUGGAUAAGGUGGCGGCCAUCACAGAAGCACAGGAAGGGUGGUGCAAGCAUUUCCCACUCCACCCAUAUGUUCCUUCUCACCCUGAACUAGAGGUAACAUCCUUGGGCCUGAGACAGUAGAUCAGUUUCCUUGCAAAUCCAGUCCUUGGCCUCUUCGCUGAGAUUACCAACAGCCAUUUACUUCAAUCAGCCGGACUAGGUUUCCACAGGUGUAAAGGAGAUCAGAAUCUGGGCCCCAUGGGGUUUAAUUAGGGAUGGUUUUGAUGGUAGGUCUUGCAAUAUGGAUACCUGUCUCUGGACAUAGACCACCCACUUAUUUCAUGCGGCCCAGUGAGUAGUAAUUAAAUAGGAAUGGCUUUCAGUCACUACCAGCGUGGAUCUGAUCCAACCUGCUUUCCUGAGCUACUACUAGAAUUUACGGCCUCCAUUUGUGUAGACAGUCUCCUUUGGUUGCUGAUGAAGGACCAACAGCCUCAGGUACUGGUAGAUGAAAAGACCAGUUGCUAUGUUCCAAAACUGAGUCACCUGUUGAACACUUUGUUUCCAUUAGAGAGCCCUCCCCCUGGAUCUAGUCAGAGUGACUUAUCAAGGGAGGUUUCACGCACUGGGAUGAGCCUUUGCACAGGCUGCUUCUCAUUUUUAAAGGGAAUUGGUCUCGCCUCAGAAAGGGAAGGACCAGGAGCACACAGAAAGGUAGGAGCAGGAGAUGGGAAGGGAAAAGCAGGUGGGUCAGGUCAGUUCCCUACUACCCUUUAGAGUCCUGUGGCUAGCAUACUGAGUGGUAAUUGAUUUAACAACCUCUUAGUGUUGAUUCAUGAUUUGUAUUGCAAGUAGCACCUGGAGACCCCAACCAAGAUCAAGGCCCCAUCAUGUUAGCCACUGUAUAUGCACAUAGUAACAGUGAGGCCUUGCCCUAAAGCACUUAUGUAACCCACACACCUCCUGGGUGUGGGGUUCUGUCCCAUCUAGUGGUACCGAGACCACUUAGAGAGAGAGAUAAAAUGAGUCUGCUCUACAGCCUGAGCUAACAGCCAGCUGGCUUUUAGCUCAUGCAAUAGAGGCUCACACACUAAGCUCCAGAGGUCCCAGGUUCAAUCCUACCUGCUGACAAGCUGGAUCAUGGGUGUUACACUUACAAUCUAAAUAAUCAAGACAGCUAGGAAGGGAAACGCACACAGGGAGGUGGAGGUGCUUGCCUGAAGUCCUGGGCAUACCCAGGAAUAGAAUCUAGGUCUCCUAGCACUGAGGCCGGUGGCCAAUCCACAAGCUCACUCUGCCUGUUACACUGCAAUGCUACAAACGGGCAAAUUUCCAAGGGUUUGGAGCUGAGCUAGUUAAAAUUUUCUGAUUUUUUAAUGAAAUUUGUCAUUUCUGUAAUGGGUUGAGCUAAGGUCCAGGCUCAAGUACCCCUAGAGAAUCAAUGCUUGAAAAAACUAUCCAUGACAUUUAGGGCAGUUUUUUCCCUACUGCUUCCAACCAAGAUUACUAUAAAACUCGGCAAGAGCCAAAACCCCAGACAGAAAACAAAUUACAGUUUAUACGUGACUCUUCCUGUUUUCUACUAUGGAUCUAACCCUCUGCAGAUGGGCUGAAUAGUUUGGGCCUAAUUUUUGAUGGUUCCAUCUGCAAGGAUAGCCCUCUUCUGUCUGCAGGAAUUGCAGGCAGUUUCCGCUUGGACUUUCUAGUUGCCCAUAGAAAACCAAUCUGGUUACUGAAACUCGCCAAGUCAAAUGUUUGGAAGGGUUUUCUUUAACCACACUUUUAGGAAAACCUCUUUCUUGGAAAAAGAACAGCACAACUUCCUGGUUGAUGGUCGAUUCACUGUCUUGGAAUGAGCCACUUCACCCACUGCUGGGAUAGGGUAGGGGAUCACAUUAAAUGUUUGACAUCAUCCCAAGGGAAGAGUUGUGCAACAUGGUGGUAAUUUUAGGUUUGCUCGACAUUAUGUGCUGUAUGUUAGAGCUUCGGCAGUGUUGAAGUGAGCCACGGUUUGUUUUUAGGAAUCACUGUGUAUUUUUCUCACCUUCACAUGCCACUGGUAAGUGGCAGGCUGGAAUCUGCCAUUUAGACCUUCUCUCCUCAACAUAGGCAGCUCCUAACUAGUAGAUACAUCUCAGAGGUUAGAAACAGAAAGGUGAAUAUAUCCUGUAUAGCCCUGCCCAAAACAACACGAUUGUGACCAUGGAGCCUCGAAGGUUCAGAGAUGCGGUCUGGUUUAGCUCAGCAACUGGAAGCCUGGAUCCUUAGCUGAACAUACAUGUAUUUCUUUGGGUCUGGAAAAUCAAGCUGGGAAAUUUCCCAAGACCAGACUCUCAUGGCAUUUCAAGUACUUUCUGUUUCCAGCCAAGACAGAGACACUGAUGGAACAGCUUUCUUUCCACUUCAGCCCUUCUUCUGAACCCAAAUUCAGUCCAAACUGGGUUUACAUAGGUGUAAAGGAGAUCAGAAUCUGGGCCCCACGGGGUUUAAUUAAUGACGGUUUUGAUGGUAGGUCUUGCAAUAUGGAUACCUGUCUCUGGAGCUAGUCAGAACAUCUCCACAGAAACAUUUUGUUCUGCAAGAAAUGGUGUUGAGGGGGAGGGGGAGUUGCAAACAUUUCCCCAAUUUUUUGAUCAGCUGGAGUCAAAAGCAAGAAAUGAAGAAGGACGUGGCAAUGAAUUCAAAUACUUAAUUAAUUAGCAGGCCAGAUCCUCAGCAUAGUUCCACUCAAGUCCUCUCUUCCUUCUAAUCCCUCCUUAAAACUUACUUCUGACACGGUUCUGAUAAGAAAUUAGCCAACUAACAAGCGCCAGGAAGAGGAGCAGCUGAGACUAAAUGACAAUUAAAGCAGAUCAAACUUUUUUGUAAUGCAAUUUUCCUCAUCAGAAAAUGUCAUUUUGUCAAAAUCAAUAUUUUCCUCGGGAAAAAUGUUGAUUUCGAGUAUCCUUUUCAAUUUCCCAACCAGGAGAAUUGAAACAAAAGGAAAACGUUGAAGAAGGUCUUUUUGUAACAAAAAAUGGCAU